This is a long non-coding RNA of Nilaparvata lugens (brown planthopper), 959 nucleotides long. RefSeq lists it as uncharacterized. Lineage: Eukaryota; Metazoa; Arthropoda; Insecta; Hemiptera; Delphacidae. The transcript has 2 exons. The record is from RefSeq and is a predicted model, not a curated record.
UAGAAAAUGCAUGUAAUCUCAGAUAGUGUUUUGAAACACCAGUUCCAUUAACCCAAAGUAAAGUUUAAAUAGUUAUUUACUAAUUCAUUUAUCUGAAUAUUACCAUCCUUAUAUGGUACUAUACUGUACUAAAAUUGAUGUAACUGUCCCCACUUGAAUAACUUACAUUGCUUUACUUAACUCAUACGUGUUACACUAAGCCGAAAGUUACAUAGAGUAUAGUCUGUGAUUCUACACAAAUUAAUUUCAAUAGGAGAAGGAAUAUCGAAUUAGAUCAUCAACUAAAUUGAACGAAUGUAUCAGUUAUAUUCAAUUUUCUGUUUUGUAAUGGUGUUAUUGAUAUAAUAAAUGAAUGAAUUAUUUUACAGUUAUUGAUGGACCGACUGGAGAGGGAUUGAGGUACCCGUGUGAGCGCUGCGGCAAAACUUACACUCUGAGGAGCACUUUGCUCAGGCACCUGAGGAGUGAAUGUGGAGUGGAACCGAAGUUUUCUUGCCCUUACUGCAGCCACAGAUCCAAGCGAAAAAGUGACCUUAAAACACAUAUAGGAAUCAAGCACUCGAAUUUUAUUCUCCCCUAAACAGCUAAUUUUGUCUAAAGAUUGUAACUGAUAUAAUAAUGGACAAGUGACCGGUGAAAGAAUGAGGCACCCGUGCAACAGAUGUGGCAAAACUUACAAAUUGAAAAGAGAUUUACAAAGGCACUUGAGAGAUGAGUGUGGAGUGGCGCCCAGGUUCUCUUGCCAUCUUUGCAACCACAGAUCGAAGCGCAAAAGCGACCUCAAAGCACAUAUAGGCGUCAGACACUCCAACAUUUUUCUCCCAUGAUCCAACAAUCAAUUUUUCCAAACAAAAAUGUUCGUGUUCUGCGAGAACUCAAUAACUCAGCAAUAAUAAUAACAUUUUUGUAUACUCUGUUAUUUUAUUAUGUUUUUGAAAAUACACAUAAUUAUCACAGGA